RNAcentral lists this ribosomal RNA (434 nucleotides) under uncultured Lachnospiraceae bacterium. Its description in RNAcentral is "partial 16S ribosomal RNA". It matches the Rfam family "Bacterial small subunit ribosomal RNA", at positions 341 to 792 of the family's 1533-position model. The record is from RNAcentral. Lineage: Bacteria; Bacillati; Bacillota; Clostridia; Lachnospirales; Lachnospiraceae.
ACGGAAGGCAGCAGUGGGGAAUAUUGGACAAUGGGGGGAACCCUGAUCCAGCGACGCCGCGUGAGUGAAGAAGUAUUUCGGUAUGUAAAGCUCUAUCAGCAGGGAAGAAGAUGACGGUACCUGCAGAAUAAGCCCCGGCUAACUACGUGCCAGCAGCCGCGGUAAUACGUAGGGGGCAAGCGUUAUCCGGAUUUACUGGGUGUAAAGGGAGCGUAGACGGCAAUGCAAGUCUGAAGUGAAAGCCCGUGGCUCAACUGCGGAACUGCUUUGGAAACUGUAUAGCUAGAGUGUCGGAGGGGUGAGCGGAAUUCCCAGUGUAGCGGUGAAAUGCGUAGAUAUUGGGAAGAACACCGGCGGCGAAGGCGGCUCACUGGACGAUAACUGACGUUGAUGCUCGAAAGCGUGGGGAGCAAACAGGAUUAGAUACCCUGGUA